This 191-nucleotide ribosomal RNA is filed under the name uncultured Glomeromycotina. RNAcentral describes it as "partial small subunit ribosomal RNA". It matches the Rfam family "Eukaryotic small subunit ribosomal RNA", at positions 892 to 1078 of the family's 1831-position model. Lineage: Eukaryota; Fungi; Glomeromycota. The record is from RNAcentral.
UAGUAUUCAAUUGUCAGAGGUGAAANCCUUNGGANUUAUUGAAGACUAACUACUGCGAAAGCAUUUGCCAAGGAUGUUUUCAUUAAUCAAGAACGAAAGUUAGGGGAUCGAAGACGAUCAGAUACCGUCGUAGUCUUAACCAUAAACUAUGCCGACUAGGGAUCGGAUGAUGUUAAUUUUUUAAUGACUCA